This 403-nucleotide ribosomal RNA is filed under the name uncultured bacterium. RNAcentral's name for it is "bacterial SSU rRNA". It matches the Rfam family "Bacterial small subunit ribosomal RNA", at positions 356 to 776 of the family's 1533-position model. The record is from RNAcentral.
GGGGAAUCUUGGACAAUGGGCGCAAGCCUGAUCCAGCCAUGCCGCGUGAGUGAUGAAGGCCUUAGGGUCGUAAAGCUCUUUCGCUGGGGAUGAUAAUGACAGUACCCAGUAAAGAAACCCCGGCUAACUCCGUGCCAGCAGCCGCGGUAAUACGGAGGGGGUUAGCGUUGUUCGGAAUUACUGGGCGUAAAGCGCGCGUAGGCGGAUUGGAAAGUUGGGGGUGAAAUCCCGGGGCUCAACCUCGGAACUGCCUCCAAAACUAUCAGUCUAGAGUUCGAGAGAGGUGAGUGGAAUUCCGAGUGUAGAGGUGAAAUUCGUAGAUAUUCGGAGGAACACCAGUGGCGAAGGCGGCUCACUGGCUCGAUACUGACGCUGAGGUGCGAAAGUGUGGGGAGCAAACAGG